CCCGCCACGGAUGGCGGGUGGUUUCAGCUUAAAGAGUUUGUGCUUGUCACAAACUCGAAGAUCAAAAAUAUAUAAGGAUGUAUAUUUUUGAUCGAGU
Molecule: small RNA, 97 nt
Organism: Treponema denticola ATCC 35405
Lineage: Bacteria; Pseudomonadati; Spirochaetota; Spirochaetia; Treponematales; Treponemataceae
Rfam family: TD-2 RNA
About the family: non coding RNA found in Treponema denticola
Source: Rfam